This 450-nucleotide long non-coding RNA is filed under the name Helianthus annuus (common sunflower). Lineage: Eukaryota; Viridiplantae; Streptophyta; Magnoliopsida; Asterales; Asteraceae. The record is from RNAcentral.
AUCUCCCAAGCAUCUCACCUCUCCUCUCCACCAUCUGCUUGCCGCCUGCUCAACCUUACAUGGUUCCAGCCCUAAUCGACGAACCCUAAACCCUAAUCAAACAUCAUGGUCCCUAAACACAUUUGAAGAGAGACCCUGUAGAAGGUGCGAGGACAGCCAUGGGUGUCAUCGUUCUCGAUCUUUAUCGCGGCUUCAGAAUCAGCCCCUUUUAUCUCGGACGCUUUGUGCUCAAGGUGCGCUUGACCCGAAGAAGGUUGAAGGGAAGAUUUUGUUGUGCUUAAGGUGAGGCAAUAUGGGUCGGCUUGACAAGGGCAUAGUGGCUGCACGUGCUGGUGCUUCUAACAUGAUUCUUUGUAACGCUGACGCCAAUAAAGAUGAAAUAAUAGCUGAUCUUCAUGUGCUACCAGCGACACACAUCACUAUGCUGACGGGCUUUGUCUUUACGCCUAC